Non-coding RNA from Streptomyces sp. DI166, 89 nucleotides. The record is from Rfam. Lineage: Bacteria; Bacillati; Actinomycetota; Actinomycetes; Kitasatosporales; Streptomycetaceae.
CGGGCCAGUGUCCAUGGCCUGUCCCCAGGUUCGCAUGCGUCGCUGGUAACGGCGGGGUGUGAAGCCGAACUGGUUAAGCCCAAGAGCGG